Molecule: long non-coding RNA, 444 nt
Organism: Octopus sinensis (East Asian common octopus)
Lineage: Eukaryota; Metazoa; Mollusca; Cephalopoda; Octopoda; Octopodidae
Exons: 2
Source: RefSeq, a predicted model, not a curated record
CAACUCGAUUAGAUGGAAUUUAGUGUAAUUAAAGAUAUUUCACUGAAAACACUGGUUUAUAUAGCAAUAACAGAACAUCAGAAACAGCAAAGAAUUGUUUCCGUCAGAGACAUUGUCAACAUCCAUCUUCUUAGAAGAACCAAAGAAAAAUCUUUAUAAAGACCAUAUAUAGAACAACACUGUUUAUCUAAAUCCAUGGUGACUUCCUGGUAACAUCUCUUUAGAACUGAGAUAAAUAUCAGCAAUUGUCUUCAAUUCCUGAAAAGUUCACAAACUGAUUUUGGAUCCUAAUUUCUCUUUUCCAUUUCAUAUGAUUUAUACGAAAUCAUUUCUCAUACUUAUUUUGAAAUUGGAAGAAUUUAUAAAAAGGUUUGCAGCAUCUUCAGAUAUCACCAAAGGUCAGAGUUGAGGGAGAUUUAAUAUCGAGAAGAUUUGGGGAGGAAU